GAGCACGUAGGUGGGUUUGUAAGUCAGAUGUGAAAGCCUUCUGUUCAACGGAAGAAUUGCAUCUGAAACUGCGAGUCUUGAGUGUAGGAGGGGAGAAUGGAACUUCUGGUGGAGCGGUGAAAUGCGUAGAUAUCAGAAGGAACGCCGGCGGCGAAAGCGAUUCUCUGGCCUAUUACUGACACUCAGUGUGCCAAAGCUAGGGGAGCAAACGGGAUUAGAUACCCCGGUAGUCCUAGCCGUAAACGAUGGGCACUAAGUAGAGGGAAUUACCGAUGUUCUCUCUGCCGUAGCUAACGCAUUAAGUGCCCCGCCUGGGGAGUACGGCCGCAAGGCUAAAACUCAAAAGAAUUGACGGGGGCUCGCACAAGCGGUGGAGCAUGUGGCUUAAUUCGAUGCAACGCGAAGAACCUUACCGGGGCUUGACAUGGUAGAAGUAGGAACCCGAAAGGGUAACGAACGGUAUCCAGUCCGUAGCUAUCACAGGUGUUGCAUGGCUGUCGUCAGCUCGUGUCGUGAGACGUUGGGUUAAGUCCCCUAACGAGCGAAACCCUUGUUUUUAGUUACCAGCGGGUUGUGCCGGGUACUCUAGAAAGACUGCCGUCGUCAAGACGGAGGAAGGUGGGGAUGACGUCAAGUCAUCAUGGCCCUUAUGCCCCGGGCUGCACACGUGCUACAAUGGUCGGUACAAACGGAAGCGAAGCCGAGAGGUGAAGCGAAUCC
This 720-nucleotide ribosomal RNA is filed under the name uncultured Candidatus Scalindua sp. RNAcentral's name for it is "bacterial SSU rRNA". It matches the Rfam family "Bacterial small subunit ribosomal RNA", at positions 565 to 1274 of the family's 1533-position model. Lineage: Bacteria; Pseudomonadati; Planctomycetota; Candidatus Brocadiia; Candidatus Brocadiales; Candidatus Scalinduaceae. The record is from RNAcentral.